Molecule: ribosomal RNA, 893 nt
Filed under: Klebsiella pneumoniae
Lineage: Bacteria; Pseudomonadati; Pseudomonadota; Gammaproteobacteria; Enterobacterales; Enterobacteriaceae
Also listed under: 1 other name
Description: partial 23S ribosomal RNA
Rfam family: Bacterial large subunit ribosomal RNA
Source: RNAcentral
UAUAAUGGGUCAGCGACUUAUAUUCUGUAGCAAGGUUAACCGUAUAGGGGAGCCGCAGGGAAACCGAGUCUUAACUGGGCGUUAAGUUGCAGGGUAUAGACCCGAAACCCGGUGAUCUAGCCAUGGGCAGGUUGAAGGUUGGGUAACACUAACUGGAGGACCGAACCGACUAAUGUUGAAAAAUUAGCGGAUGACUUGUGGCUGGGGGUGAAAGGCCAAUCAAACCGGGAGAUAGCUGGUUCUCCCCGAAAGCUAUUUAGGUAGCGCCUCGUGAACUCAUCUUCGGGGGUAGAGCACUGUUUCGGCUAGGGGGUCAUCCCGACUUACCAACCCGAUGCAAACUACGAAUACCGAAGAAUGUUAUCACGGGAGACACACGGCGGGUGCUAACGUCCGUCGUGAAGAGGGAAACAACCCAGACCGCCAGCUAAGGUCCCAAAGUCAUGGUUAAGUGGGAAACGAUGUGGGAAGGCACAGACAGCCAGGAUGUUGGCUUAGAAGCAGCCAUCAUUUAAAGAAAGCGUAAUAGCUCACUGGUCGAGUCGGCCUGCGCGGAAGAUGUAACGGGGCUAAACCAUGCACCGAAGCUGCGGCAGCGACACUAUGUGUUGUUGGGUAGGGGAGCGUUCUGUAAGCCUGCGAAGGUGUGCUGUGAGGCAUGCUGGAGGUAUCAGAAGUGCGAAUGCUGACAUAAGUAACGAUAAAGCGGGUGAAAAGCCCGCUCGCCGGAAGACCAAGGGUUCCUGUCCAACGUUAAUCGGGGCAGGGUGAGUCGACCCCUAAGGCGAGGCCGAAAGGCGUAGUCGAUGGGAAACAGGUUAAUAUUCCUGUACUUGGUGUUACUGCGAAGGGGGGACGGAGAAGGCUAUGUUAGCCGGGCGACGGUUGUCCCG